GCGGUCCUGGCGGCGUCUACCAUGCAGUCGAGCGGUAGCACAGAGAAGCUUGCUUCUUGGGUGACGAGCGGCGGACGGGUGAGUAAUGCAUAGGAAUCUGCCCGAUAGUGGGGGAUAACCUGGGGAAACCCAGGCUAAUACCGCAUACGUCCUACGGGAGAAAGGGGGCUCCGGCUCCCGCUAUGGGAUGAGCCUAUGUCGGAUUAGCUAGUUGGUGAGGUAACGGCUCACCAAGGCAACGAUCCGUAGCUGGUCUGAGAGGAUGAUCAGCCACAUCGGGACUGAGACACGGCCCGAACUCCUACGGGAGGCAGCAGUGGGGAAUAUUGGACAAUGGGCGCAAGCCUGAUCCAGCCAUGCCGCGUGUGUGAAGAAGGCCCUCGGGUUGUAAAGCACUUUCAGCGAGGAAGAACGCCUAGCGGUUAAUACCCGCUAGGAAAGACAUCACUCGCAGAAGAAGCACCGGCUAACUCCGUGCCAGCAGCCGCGGUAAUACGGAGGGUGCAAGCGUUAAUCGGAAUUACUGGGCGUAAAGCGCGCGUAGGUGGCUUGAUAAGCCGGUUGUGAAAGCCCCGGGCUCAACCUGGGAACGGCAUCCGGAACUGUCAAGCUAGAGUGCAGGAGAGGAAGGUAGAAUUCCCGGUGUAGCGGUGAAAUGCGUAGAGAUCGGGAGGAAUACCAGUGGCGAAGGCGGCCUUCUGGACUGACACUGACACUGAGGUGCGAAAGCGUGGGUAGCAAACAGGAUUAGAUACCCUGGUAGUCCACGCCGUAAACGAUGUCGACCAGCCGUUGGGUGCCUAGCGCACUUUGUGGCGAAGUUAACGCGAUAAGUCGACCGCCUGGGGAGUACGGCCGCAAGGUUAAAACUCAAAUGAAUUGACGGGGGCCCGCACAAGCGGUGGAGCAUGUGGUUUAAUUCGAUGCAACGCGAAGAACCUUACCUACUCUUGACAUCCUGCGAAUUCGGUAGAGAUACCUUAGUGCCUUCGGGAACGCAGAGACAGUGCUGCAUGCUGUCGUCAGCUCGUGUUGUGAAAUGUUGGUUAAGUCCCGUAACGAGCGCACCCUUGUCUUAUUUGCAGCACGUAAUGUGGACUUCUAGAGACUGCGUGACAACCGAGACGUGGGACGACGUCAGUCAUCAUGCUUACGAUUUAGCUACCCACGUGCCUACAAAUGGCCGGU
Molecule: ribosomal RNA, 1188 nt
Filed under: Vreelandella lionensis
Lineage: Bacteria; Pseudomonadati; Pseudomonadota; Gammaproteobacteria; Oceanospirillales; Halomonadaceae
Description: bacterial SSU rRNA
Rfam family: Bacterial small subunit ribosomal RNA
Source: RNAcentral